Non-coding RNA from Nicotiana tabacum (common tobacco), 2611 nucleotides. Lineage: Eukaryota; Viridiplantae; Streptophyta; Magnoliopsida; Solanales; Solanaceae. The record is from RefSeq and is a predicted model, not a curated record.
UACUAAUACACCCUAUUUAGCAUUAUUCUUAUACACCCUGCCAAACGACCCCUUAUAAUUUGUUUUUGGUUUUGUAUUUCAUACUGGAGGUAGAGUUUGACUUCAUUAACAUGUGUCAGUUUUUUUCUAUGCAGUCCAGCUGUUGCAAUGCAUACAACAUCUUUAUUGCUCCUGAAGUCAAAAUCUUUCUUAGUCAUAAAAGCACCUUUUUAUUUCCUGGUGGUUACAGAGGGAAGCUUCACCUGUGUGAGCUUGCUCACAUUGACUGUUCCUAAGUAGACAACCAGCAAACUAGUCAAUAUGGUGAAUCCUCACAUUACAAUAUAAGACAGGCUAAAAUGUAUCGACAUGGACAUUGAGAAUUUACAUAGCCGAUCUCAACUUGCCAGGGGUUGAAGUGUAGUUGUUUGUUAGUUACAGGGGGAAUUGAUGGGCAAAACCUUGGCCUGAAGUGUUGAAAAGCAAUCUUUGACCUCAGGAUUGUCCAUAAACUAUACCCUUGACCAUCAAGCCCACCCUUUGUGAUCGUACACAUUCCCACUAGUAAAAAUAAUGUGUAGAAAUCUAUUCCUGUUGGUUAAUUGGUUUUGGAUUUUGUAGAGAAGACAGGCAAACUAUAUUAAAUUGAUGCACUAUUAGAUUUUUAAUGGAAGUGAUUGUGCUCUGUGAUAUUUCCUGGUUUACUCAAUGGCUGGACUCUUGAUAAUGAAUCUUAUGAUAAGGAGGGUAGUUACUUAAAUGGCUUGACUAGAAAGCUUCUUGCUUGUUAGAAUGUUAUUUGUUACUUAUAUAGUACUAUCUUGUUGGUAAUUUAUUUUUUUGAUAAUCUAUUAUCUCGUUUAGUAAUAUAUUUAAUUUCUACAAAAUUCGGUGCUUCUUGCGUGAGUUUAGCAUAUUUGUUGGACCUUUUUUUUUUCCUUAUCUGGUUAAUGUAUUGUCUGGUUUGCUAAGAUCAAGAAUAGUAGGUUUAGCUUGUUAGACAUUUGACAUUUAUUAUUUUUCAGUUGAGGAUAAGGCAGCAGCGUGUAUUUGGCAUUUGAUUUUUAAUUUUUUUAUUAAUUCAGGGGAGGGGGUAAGGGAAAGUGCUACUGAUGUUCAUUUCUUUUCUUUUCUUUCUUUUGAGGGGUGGGGGUUCCUACUGGAUUGGUUGUACACCAGUGUGUAUAAAUCAUUUUCAUCUGAAUGAUUCAGGUUACUAAUAGGGAAAGAAAUUGCGGGUGAUGGUGUGAUUUAAAAAUCCCUUACUUAUUUAUUCUGUUAUUGGUACGAUUGAUGGAACCAUCAUUCAAACACCAGUGUAUUUAUUUGAUUGUCUCUAUCGCUCUAUUGUUAACCAGGAUAACGAGUAUAUUAAAUUUAUUAAUCAAUUGAAUAAAUUUGGCAUGUCACGUGUUUGUAUAAUAUAUUCCUCAUUCCGUGCUGUGAAGCAGUUUUCGUUACUAUUUGUUGUGUAUUCGUUGGUCACCAUUGAUGGUUGGUUGGCGCAAAUAUGAAUGAGAGUCUGGUUCCUUCCUUUGGUAAGUACCAAUAAAUACAUAGUCUUCACGUGUGUGUAUUUUAUCGGUAUUUCUCGCUUCAUGCGGUGCUACAAUUUUCCUGUAACAUUUGUUGUUUAUUUGGUGUUUCAGGUACUAAAAGUCGCUGUCUGUUGGUUAGCAGUUUAUGUUUGUUGGAAAAAAUACGCAUGAGAGAAUUCGGGUUCCUUUAUAUAUAUGGAGCAAAGGAAGGUCUCUUUCGCCUACGAGCAUUUGUAUGAAGAAAGGAGUCUCGUACAAAGGGUUGGAAAGAAGGCCUUUUCGUUUGGUUUGAACCAAUCUUUCGUCGUUUGCAGUCCUCUUUUUCUUCCUUCUAACACCGCCUAUAUCCCGAGGAAAAAGAAAAUAGAAUCUUUCUGUUGAUCAUCUCUAUUUUUGAGGCCUGAGGUAGGACCAGUGGAACCAUUUUUAUCUACAUGAACUUCUUUCCCUCUUAAUCCUGCUUACCAAUUUGGAUAACUCAUUUAUGCAAGCAUCGGUAUGGAAAGCUCCAGAAUAAAUAUAUCCAACGUAUUGCAUGUGGACGAAAGACUUGCAGCAGGAAAUUCUCAUUCUUCUAAAACAUUCAACCUGUGAAGAAAGAUAUCUCAUGGAGAGGCAGUGAUGGUUUGUUUCGUGGACAAUAAAUUGCCUCUACUUCAGAAAGCAUCAUCGUAUUAAUUUUGUCGAGGAUUCAAAUUAAAGCAACACUUCCAAGUUGGAUUCAGUGGCGAGCUGUUUGCAGAAAUGGAAGGACUCUUGCAGUUUAGCUUUUAAACGGGUAUGUUGAUAACAAGAAAUUUUUCACUGUGCUUGGACAAGCUGCAAAUGAUUUUCAUUUAGCACUUGUUGAUACUGCUAAGGCAAUGUUUGUGGGAUAAACCCCUGGUUUCAGCAAGUUGAUAGGGAGAGAUUAUAAUGCUUACUAUCUUCUUCAUUCGAACUUAAAACGUCGGCUUUUCAGUUUGAUGAGGAAACUCUGGCUAUCUCAUUGUACUCUUUCCGUAACAUGGGUCUGAAGAUAAUUUAUUUUAUGCAGAUAGAAGAGAGUGUCUAACAAGUUCAGCUUUCAGAUCUGAAAAUUAGUUUUAUUGUUA